This 157-nucleotide microRNA precursor is filed under the name Pelobates cultripes (western spadefoot toad). Lineage: Eukaryota; Metazoa; Chordata; Amphibia; Anura; Pelobatidae. The record is from RNAcentral.
GCAGACACAUUCCAGCCAAUCAGCAGCAGACCCUCCCUCCCAGACCCUUCCACCUCCUGGACAGCAUCCAUUUUGAAGCUGCAUUCUUAGUGAGCUGUCCAGGAGGUGGGAGGGUCUGGGAGGGAGGGUCUGCUGCUGAUUGGCUGGAAUGUGUCUG